ACCAAAACCCUAAUCUAACUCUAUAAAAUUCAGUCCCAUAGCUCUCUCCGAUUGCCUUCAAUCGUCGUUACUGCCGGCGAUGCCUUUCAUCACCACAUCUCCUUCAUCCUCCGGCUGGCCAAGCUAUCCACACCACCACCGUAUGAAACAACCGCCGACAACCACCAAACAGCCGGCAAUGCCCUUCAUCACCACCAAACAACCACCGACAACAACACUUAACAACAAUAUACAGUCUUCCGGUGAGAGAAUCUAUAAGUAGAUUGAAGCUGCCAUUUUGAAAUAUCAAGAAAUUUAAGGAAAAUAUCAAGAUGACAGGCAGAGCUGACAAAGGUAAGGAAAAAGUUGAUCUAACAAAACCAAAAAAGAAAAGACAGCAUCCGCCUUAUAGAUGACCGAUAGGUAUUCACAUAUCUGAGGGUUGGUUUGCUGAUGCGACAACACGAACCUCAUAUUCUAGAUCAUCCUAGCAUUCAGUUCCCACUCCUACGCAUGUGGGUCCACUUCACGGGUCUACACCGACCCAAUCUGCUUCCAUCAUCAUGCCACGACAACCACAAUACUAUCAGACGUCCGUUGGCACAUCCGAACAUGUGUUAUCAUCGAUACCCUCCUACAGCAGUCAUGCAGCUACAUAUAGUGAUUCUGCUGGAUUUAUUGGGUUGUUGGAUCUUCAUCUUGGAGGCACUCCAUCUGGUGCUUUAGAUCCGCCCAGGCCAUUGCAUCCACCAUCACUUGAUCUACAGCCAAGAGACAGAGAUGAUUAUGGGAGGCUUUAUCUCAUUCCAUUUGCGAUAGGGUUUAGGCUGGAUGCUAAAGUUGGACAAGCUAUGAGAAAACGCUUUUGUUGAAACUUCAACGGCUACUGGACCAGUUGGUGUCAGGUUCCAGAACUUGAUAGGGAGAGAAUGUUUAAAGAAUUUAAAAAAUUUUACUGGUGGGAUGAUGCGAAUACAUUUCUUAUAAGGGGGAACUUUUUCAUAAGAUGUAGAGUCAGGUUUAACGGUCUGUUAGAUUAUGCCCGAACAAAGUUGGUGAAACCUGACUGGAUUAGUGAACCCUUAUGGUAACUGUAUCUUCACCUUUGGAAUAGCGAAGGAUACCAACUACUGAGGGAAAAAGGAAGGAAAUCUCGGGCAUCAUCGAAGGGUGGCUCCCUACAUAUUGCGGGUGCCAGAAGUACCCUUGUUGUGCAGGAAAAAUUGAAAAAAGAAAAGGGUAGGGAGAUACCACACGAUGAGCUAUUCGAGGAGACUCAUCUGAAGAAUAAAAAGAACCCUACUGAUGGAGAUGUCUGGGUUGAACCUCGUGCAAAAUCUUCCCAUAGAGAGAGGUUGCAGAAAAGAGAGGACAAAACUUUAUCACAAAUCAGGAUGCUGCAGGAGCAGUUCAGCUCUUUCAUUCAGAAUGCAAGGAUUAUUCCUCCACGUCCUGGUGAUGUUGUUCAGGCUACAAAAAGACUUAGCCCCUUGGAUGAUAUCAACACAGAUGAGGACAUGGAAGAUGAGGACAAGGACAAAUUCGAUGAUGAUGACUUUUAGUUUUUUGAAUUUUAUAUGUGUUGUACUUUGAAUUUAGAUAUUAUGUUGUAGUUUGUACAUUUUUGAAACUAUUGUUGUAGAUGUUAACACUUUUGAAACUAUUGUUGUACUUUGAAUUUACACAUUAUAUUGUAGUUUUUACUCUUUUGUAACUAUUUUUGUGUUGUACACUUUUGA
Long non-coding RNA from Capsicum annuum, 1718 nucleotides. RefSeq lists it as uncharacterized. The transcript is spliced from 7 exons. NCBI's taxonomy places the organism in Eukaryota, Viridiplantae, Streptophyta, Magnoliopsida, Solanales, Solanaceae. The record is from RefSeq and is a predicted model, not a curated record.